RNAcentral lists this ribosomal RNA (520 nucleotides) under uncultured bacterium. Its description in RNAcentral is "partial 16S ribosomal RNA". It matches the Rfam family "Bacterial small subunit ribosomal RNA", at positions 28 to 507 of the family's 1533-position model. The record is from RNAcentral.
GACGAACGCUGGCGGCGUGCCUAAUACAUGCAAGUCGAACGCACUCUCGUUUAGAUUGAAGGAGUUUGCUCCUGAUUGAUAAACAUUUGAGUGAGUGGCGGACGGGUGAGUAACACGUGGGUAACCUGCCCUAAAGUGGGGGAUAACAUUUGGAAACAGAUGCUAAUACCGCAUAAAACCUAACACCGCAUGUUGUAGGGUUGAAAGAUGGUUUCGGCUAUCACUUUAGGAUGGACCCGCGGUGCAUUAGUUAGUUGGUGAGGUAAAGGCUCACCAAGACCGUGAUGCAUAGCCGACCUGAGAGGGUAAUCGGCCACACUGGGACUGAGACACGGCCCAGACUACUACGGGAGGCAGCAGUAGGGAAUCUUCCACAAUGGACGAAAGUCUGAUGGAGCAACGCCGCGUGAGUGAAGAAGGUUUUCGGAUCGUAAAACUCUGUUGUUGGAGAAGAAUGUAUCUGAUAGUAACUGAUCAGGUAGUGACGGUAUCCAAACAGAAAGCCACGGCUAACUACGUG